UGCUUAAUACAUGCAAGUCGAGCGGUAAGGCCCUUUCGGGGGUACACGAGCGGCGAACGGGUGAGUAACACGUGGGUGACCUGCCCUCAGCUCUGGGAUAAGCCUGGGAAACCGGGUCUAAUACUGGAUAUGACUCCAUGACGCAUGUUGUGGGGUGGAAAGCCUUGUGCGGCUGAGGAUGGGCCCGCGGCCUAUCAGCUUGUUGGUGGGGUGAUGGCCUACCAAGGCGACGACGGGUAGCCGGCCUGAGAGGGCGACCGGCCACACUGGGACUGAGACACGGCCCAGACUCCUACGGGAGGCAGCAGUGGGGAAUCUUGCGCAAUGGGCGAAAGCCUGACGCAGCGACGCCGCGUGAGGGAUGACGGCCUUCGGGUUGUAAACCUCUUUCAGCUCCGACGAAGCGAGAGUGACGGUAGGAGCAGAAGAAGCACCGGCCAACUACGUGCCAGCAGCCGCGGUAAUACGUAGGGUGCAAGCGUUGUCCGGAAUUAUUGGGCGUAAAGAGCUCGUAGGCGGCCUGUCGCGUCGGCUGUGAAAACUCGGGGCUCAACUCCGAGCUUGCAGUCGAUACGGGCAGGCUAGAGUUCGGCAGGGGAGACUGGAAUUCCUGGUGUAGCGGUGAAAUGCGCAGAUAUCAGGAGGAACACCGGUGGCGAAGGCGGGUCUCUGGGCCGAUACUGACGCUGAGGAGCGAAAGCGUGGGGAGCGAACAGGAUUAGAUACCCUGGUAGUCCACGCUGUAAACGUUGGGCGCUAGGUGUGGGAUCCCUUCCACGGGUUCCGUGCCGCAGCUAACGCAUAAGCGCCCCGCCUGGGGAGUACGGGCCGCAAGGGCUAAAACUCAAAGGAAUUGACGGGGGGCCCGCACAAGCGGGCGGAGCAUGGUGGAUUAAUUCGAUGCAACGCGAAGAAACCUUCACCUGGGGUUUGACAUACACUGGGAAAGCCAUGGAGAACAUGGCCUCCGCAAGGGCCGGUGUAACAGGGUGGUGGCAAUGGGCUGUCGUCAGCUCGUGUCGUGAGAUGUUGGGGUUAAGUCCCGCAACGAGCGCAACCCUUGUCUCAUGUUGCCAGCGGGUUAUGCCGGGGGACUCAUGAGAGACUUGCCGGGGUCAACUCGGAGGAAAGGUGGGGGACGAACGUC
This 1147-nucleotide ribosomal RNA is filed under the name uncultured bacterium. RNAcentral describes it as "bacterial SSU rRNA". It matches the Rfam family "Bacterial small subunit ribosomal RNA", at positions 45 to 1186 of the family's 1533-position model. The record is from RNAcentral.